AGGCGCAUCAACACAUGAUGUAGAUAUCAUGUCCAAAAGAAGAGCGAGACGUAAUCCCAAGGUUGAAGCCGAGUUUAUUUGAUCUGGAUGUGAUAAGUCUUGUUUUAAGGCCCAGUUGAUCAAUUAUUGGAAAGACACCAACUGUUGAUGUUCUAUCUCAACAUUCUCCAGAUUCAGAUGUGAGCGAUUAACCGACUUCAUCCCUUCAACAGACACCAACUGUUGAUUUUCCAUCUCAACAUUCUCCAGAUUCAUAUAUGAUUAAUAACCGACUUCAUCCCUCCAACAGG
Long non-coding RNA from Nerophis lumbriciformis (worm pipefish), 290 nucleotides. RefSeq lists it as uncharacterized. NCBI's taxonomy places the organism in Eukaryota, Metazoa, Chordata, Actinopteri, Syngnathiformes, Syngnathidae. The record is from RefSeq and is a predicted model, not a curated record.